This 179-nucleotide ribosomal RNA is filed under the name uncultured bacterium. Its description in RNAcentral is "partial 16S ribosomal RNA". It matches the Rfam family "Bacterial small subunit ribosomal RNA", at positions 335 to 526 of the family's 1533-position model. RNAcentral also lists the same sequence under 1 other name. The record is from RNAcentral.
ACUCCUACGGGAGGCAGCAGUGGGGAAUAUUGGGCAAUGGAGGAAACUCUGACCCAGCGACGCCGCGUGCGGGAUGAAGGCCUUCGGGUUGUAAACCGCUUUCAGUAGGGAAGAAGCGAAAGUGACGGUACCUACAAAAGAAGCACCGGCUAACUAUGUGCCAGCAGCCGCGGUAAUAC